This 136-nucleotide small RNA is filed under the name Paenibacillus selenitireducens. RNAcentral's name for it is "c-di-AMP sequence". It matches the Rfam family "c-di-AMP riboswitch aptamer (ydaO/yuaA leader)". Rfam says of the family: This family represents a conserved RNA structure found upstream of the ydaO and yuaA genes in Bacillus subtilis and related genes in other bacteria. The ydaO/yuaA element is thought to act as a genetic "off" switch for the ydaO and yuaA genes in its native state. Lineage: Bacteria; Bacillati; Bacillota; Bacilli; Caryophanales; Paenibacillaceae. The record is from Rfam by way of RNAcentral.
GCUUAAUACAUGCUAAAUUUUCGAAUAGAAAUACGGGGGAACCACCUAUUGGGGCGAAUCGCAGCGCAUGGCUGCGUAGGAAACCAUCUUUACCGAGUCCGUCAGCUAACCUCGUCAGCAUGAGAUGGGUCGUCAU